AGGUGCGAUCAUACCAGCACUAAUGCACCGGAUCCCUUCAGAACUCCGCAGGUAAGCGUGCUUGGGCGAGAGUAAUACUAGGAUGGGUGACCUCUUGGGAAGUCCUCGUGUUGCACCUCU
Lupinus albus (white lupine) is the source of this 120-nucleotide non-coding RNA. The record is from the annotation of a GenBank genome assembly. NCBI's taxonomy places the organism in Eukaryota, Viridiplantae, Streptophyta, Magnoliopsida, Fabales, Fabaceae.